This 290-nucleotide long non-coding RNA is filed under the name Elaeis guineensis (African oil palm). Its description in RNAcentral is "long non-coding RNA (EGUI_LNC029643)". The record is from RNAcentral. Lineage: Eukaryota; Viridiplantae; Streptophyta; Magnoliopsida; Arecales; Arecaceae.
AUGGGCUUCUGUAUACUAGUUUCAUUUUGGACAAGGACCGAACUAAUUGCUUGAGAGAUGACUGAUAAAUAUAUAAAGAGCUUCUCACCUUCAUCAUGCUUGGAGAGAAGGGGCACCAAUCCUAAGUACUUCUUGAGUUCUUUAAAUGCUGAUCGGUACUCCUUCGACCACUCGAAGUUCUUUGAUUGCUUUAUUACUCUGAAGAAUGGGAGACAUUUUUGGAUCGAUCUGGUGAUGAAUCGGCUCCAUGUUUCCACUCUUCCAGUUAGUCAUUGAUCGUUGUCGUGGGC